This is a long non-coding RNA of Hydra vulgaris (swiftwater hydra), 393 nucleotides long. RefSeq lists it as uncharacterized. NCBI's taxonomy places the organism in Eukaryota, Metazoa, Cnidaria, Hydrozoa, Anthoathecata, Hydridae. The record is from RefSeq and is a predicted model, not a curated record.
CAGUUUAUAAACCAAACCGCUAAGCACCCUUUUCUAGGUGAUAUCAUUGGUUUAUGCAAUCGGGAUGAACUAAAUCUAGAGAACUUAAUGCAAAACAAAAAAAAAGUAAAAAUUAUUGUGUUGAAAAAUAUAAUUCUUAAAAAAGGUCUUCAAAGGUUAAGCUAUGCAAUUGAGUUCUGGAACUUAUUGGAGCAAAAAAUACUUUCAAAGAUAUUCUUGAAAUUUAAAUGUUUUCAAUCAGAUUAUUAUAAACCUUAAUGUUUGGGUUAAGGUUAUCUAAGUAAAGCCAUGAUCCAAGCAAGCAUUGUAAACUUCAAAAUAGGAACCGCAGUUGUAAUUGAAAACUUGCAAAAUUGGUACUGUACAUGUUUUGGCUUGCAAAGCUGCUCAGUU